UGUAAGAAAGACUAAGGGAU
Molecule: transfer RNA, 20 nt
Filed under: Goniastrea stelligera
Lineage: Eukaryota; Metazoa; Cnidaria; Anthozoa; Scleractinia; Merulinidae
Also listed under: 1 other name
Description: partial tRNA-Met
Source: RNAcentral